This 468-nucleotide ribosomal RNA is filed under the name uncultured eukaryote. RNAcentral describes it as "SSU rRNA". It matches the Rfam family "Eukaryotic small subunit ribosomal RNA", at positions 649 to 1120 of the family's 1831-position model. The record is from RNAcentral.
CGGCAGUCGGUCCGCUCCUCGCGGAGUGUGCACCUGGCUUCUGCAGCCAUCCUCGCGGAGAGCACGUCUGUCAUUAAGUUGUCGGGCGUGGGAUCCGCGUCAUUUACUGUGAGCAAAAUAGAGUGUUCAAAGCAGGCUUAGGCCGUUGAAUACAUUAGCAUGGAAUAAUAAGAUAGGACCUUGGUCUAUUUUGUUGGUUUGUACUCCAAGGUAAUGAUUAAUAGGGAUAGUUGGGGGUAUUCGUAUUCAAUUGUCAGAGGUGAAAUUCUUGGAUUUAUGGAAGACGAACUACUGCGAAAGCAUUUACCAAGGAUGUUUUCAUUAAUCAAGAACGAAAGUUAGGGGAUCGAAGAUGAUUAGAUACCAUCGUAGUCUUAACCAUAAACUAUGCCGACUAGGGAUUGGUUGAUGUUUUUUUACGACUCAAUCAGCACCUUAUGAGAAAUCAAAGUCUUUGGGUUCCGGGGG